This 422-nucleotide long non-coding RNA is filed under the name Aotus nancymaae (Ma's night monkey). RNAcentral describes it as "lncRNA (ENSANAG00000038988.1)". The record is from RNAcentral. Lineage: Eukaryota; Metazoa; Chordata; Mammalia; Primates; Aotidae.
AUGUUUCACAGCCACUCUAGAGAACUUGAAGGAUACAUUCAGUUGGCAGGGUUACCAUUCACAACUGUACAUGAUGACCAUGGCAUUGAAGGUAGCUACAAAAUCUUAUAUCAUUCAAGUAACCAGCUACAAGUUGAGCAAUGGAGCUGGAGACCAGGUGAGGCAUAUUGCUGGAUAGCCCAGAAAAAGGAAACUAGACUGCAUCAAGAAUAAAAGCAGAUUGGGACUUUAAAAUAUGAGAGGCAUCUUCAGAAGAAAUAAGAAACCUGGGUCAGAAAUAAUUGAGGUAGGUAGAAUGCAACAGAAGCAUAUCCUAAGCUCUCAACAUAAAUGCAUUUCAGCCUUUGAGGUUUAAAUCAGAUGAGGAAGUGUGAUGUUAGAUUUUAUUUAUCAACUUGGCUAAGUAGGCUAUAAUACACAAG